Transfer RNA from Camelus ferus (Wild Bactrian camel), 73 nucleotides. It matches the Rfam family "tRNA". From Rfam's summary of the family: Transfer RNA (tRNA) molecules are approximately 80 nucleotides in length. Their secondary structure includes four short double-helical elements and three loops (D, anti-codon, and T loops). The record is from Rfam. NCBI's taxonomy places the organism in Eukaryota, Metazoa, Chordata, Mammalia, Artiodactyla, Camelidae.
GAGGGUAUAGCUCAAGUGGCAGAGCACAUGCUUAGCAUGUUUGAGGUCCUGGGUUCCAUCCCCAGUACCUCCU